RNAcentral lists this ribosomal RNA (433 nucleotides) under uncultured bacterium. RNAcentral describes it as "partial 16S ribosomal RNA". It matches the Rfam family "Bacterial small subunit ribosomal RNA", at positions 29 to 507 of the family's 1533-position model. The record is from RNAcentral.
AGCGAACGCUGGCGGCAGGCCUAACACAUGCAAGUCGAACGAACUCUUCGGAGUUAGUGGCGGACGGGUGCGUAACACGUGGGAACGUGCCUUUUGGUUCGGAAUAACUCAGGGAAACUUGUGCUAAUACCGAAUGUGCCCUUCGGGGGAAAGAUUUAUCGCCAUUAGAGCGGCCCGCGUCUGAUUAGCUAGUUGGUGAGGUAACGGCUCACCAAGGCGACGAUCAGUAGCUGGUCUGAGAGGAUGACCAGCCACACUGGGACUGGGACACGGCCCAGACUCCUACGGGAGGCAGCAGUGGGGAAUAUUGCGCAAUGGGCGAAAGCCUGACGCAGCCAUGCCGCGUGAAUGAUGAAGGUCUUAGGAUUGUAAAAUUCUUUCACCGGGGACGAUAAUGACGGUACCCGGAGAAGAAGCCCCGGCUAACUUCGUG